UUGAUGGCUGGAUGUGUGCACACAUGUAAUGGGGUAUCAUGGUCACGUUGCUUGGUGUGCAGAGGCGACCCGGCACCGGCACUUGCCCGGCGGUGGGACUUCGCCGUGGCCGGUGGGAGAGUUGGGUGGCAGCAAGCGGUGCGGCGAGGGGAGGCACACGGUCCAGAGGGUGGGACUCUUGCUAGCCGCUCUCCCGGUCCAUUUGGUUUCUUGCGGCCACGGUGGCGUUUCUCGGAUCGAGCGCCGCUCGUCCUUCUCUUCACUACUUCUCCACAAUGCUAGCCCCUCCACCUCUCCUUCCUCCCCCUCGUUGUGUGGUGUCCAUGGGAUGUGCCUAGAUCCAGAUCAGGCGUAGGUUAGGUGAGGCUGAUGGUUGGGUGAAGGAGUAGGGAAAGCGGGCGACGAGGACAGGAAGAAGCCGGCCGUCGUGGUGCAGUGGGGCUGCCGGGAAGGAAGAGGUCGGCUGCGUCCCCGGCGGUGUCGGUGGAGCUGCUCCUCAACGAGAUUCGGCCAUGGAGAGGACCGUGGUGCCAGCGCAGCCUCGCCCCCUCUAGCGCAGCGCAAGAGAUCAGCACACCAUCGAACUGAGAUUAGGCUUCUGUGGUGUUGCUUUGUAUACAGAUGACAUGCUCGCCUCUUGGUUUAAUUUAGGAGUGUAUUUAGAAGCUAAAACUGAACAAUAAUAUCAGUUUAGAGAUGCAGUUGACCAUUUUUCA
Molecule: long non-coding RNA, 716 nt
Organism: Triticum aestivum (bread wheat)
Lineage: Eukaryota; Viridiplantae; Streptophyta; Magnoliopsida; Poales; Poaceae
Exons: 2
Source: RefSeq, a predicted model, not a curated record